Molecule: ribosomal RNA, 445 nt
Filed under: uncultured bacterium
Lineage: Bacteria
Description: bacterial SSU rRNA
Rfam family: Bacterial small subunit ribosomal RNA
Source: RNAcentral
GAUGAAUGCUGGCUGUGUGGAUAAGGCAUGCAAGUCGAAUGCAUUUAGUUGCAUGGCGAACGAGGUAGUAACACGUAGGAUAACAUGCCCCAAAGUCAGGGAUAACCUGGAGAAAUCCAGAAUAAUACCUGAUAGACCCUUCUAUACUUUAGGUAGGGUAAAGAUUUAUCGCUUUGGGAUUGGCCUGCGGGAUAUCAGCUAGUUGGUAGUGUAAAGGACUACCAAGGCUAUGACGUCUAGGGGAGGUGAGAGCCUGACCCCCACCGAUGGAACUGAGACACGGUCCAUACUCCUACGGGAGGCCGCAGUCGAGAAUCUUCCGCAAUGGACGAAAGUCUGACGGAGCGACACAGCGUGGUAGAUGAAGUCUUUCGAGAUGUAAAUACCUUUUAUGAGUGAAGAAUUUUAUUGACACUAGCUCAUGAAUAAGGGGCUGCUAAUCACG